UUAGCAUUCUUAUUCUCCUCGAAGUCAAGAAUUUGCAUUUUUCAUUUUUCCAUCAAAGAGCAAUUUGAAGAGUAGAAAAAACCCUUCCGGUUGAAGGUUAGAAAUCAUUUUUAAUUAGUCGCGAAACGGGUUUGCUGUUUCAACGGAAAGGAAAACGAUGACAACGAGCGGUGAUGGUUCCCGUCGUGAGCGAUGGUGGUGGCAACGACAUCAGUCGCUGUUGAUGGCUUCGACGUUGCGGUUGGUGGCUGGUGGAGAGACCUUGGUUCUAUGGUAGCAGUGAUCCGAAGGGGAAGAGAAGAAAAUCCUAGUCUCUGCAGGUCUCCUUCAUCAAAGGUAUUAAAUAGUAAAGAUAUGAAACCAAAUUGAGAAUAUCGAAGCAAACUAUAAAGCCGACGAGAGAUUAAAGGCAAGAAUAUUAAAGGAAUUGGACUUGGACUGUACUUCCGACAAGGCAAAGAUGCAGGGUGUGGUUUAGGGGUUGAGCUACAGCAGGUGCGAGUUACACGUUUUCUGCAUCUGUGGAGGUUGCAGGUCCGAUCUGGUGGUUCUCGCAUGGUGCAGAUGCAGUGGUGGCUCGUCAAGCAUGGCGGCUACCGGCGAGAUCCAGAGCUGACGGUGGUGGCGCAAUUUCGCUGGCAGCUUGGUGGUUCAGUUUUCCGGCGAAGUUGGAGGUGAUGGUGGAUGCGCUGGUCUCGCGUCUGCAAUGGUGAUUGGAUGCGUGAUGUUGCUGUGAUGUGCAGAUGCGAAACGGAGAGGCUGGUUGGUGCGCGUCUCCUCCCCUCUGGCUCGCGCUCUCUGACUCGAAGGUGCAGGUGGAUGAAUGAAGGGUGAACACUGCUGGAGGAUGGCCGCGCCGCUGCUGGUUCGUGAAGUUGCUGUCAUGGCUACUGCACUGCAGUUGCGUUCGUGAAUGGCGCAGGCAUGGAGGUUCUGCUCACGGUGGUUUCCGGCGAGAAAAAGAUGGUGCGUUGUAGUUCGUGGUGCAGAUCUCGCUGAUGGUGGCGCGGUGGUGCGGUGGCUGCCGGCUCGCGUAGGAGUGGAAGGAGGCUCGAACAGUGGUGCGGCGCAGAUGAGACUGUGAAUGGAGAUGGUGUUGCGAACAGGUGCAGGGACGUUGGUUGAAGAUGAUGGAAGCUUGCAGGUUGCAGGUGCGUGGUUCGAACUGCUGGAGGUGCUGGUGGCUCGCAGUGGUCGGAAAAUUUGCUGCCGGCAAGGGUGGCGGCUGCCAUGGUGAUGGAAGGAGAGGAGAAAAUUAGGUUAGGGUUUCAUGUGAGAGAUGUGAGAGAUGGAAGAGAUGAUGACGUUGUCUAAUUGGUGCAUACGUGUUUACAAAGAUUAAUGACACGUGUUAGUUUAUGGUUGGUUUGAUUUGAAAAUUGAGGAUUAAGAGGUAGGAGGGGUGUAAAUAGACAUAUUUGGGGGUGCAUAAUAGGUUUUUGGUGAGACCCAUUUAGAAAGAGAUGAGUGUAUAAGUAAUGUACUGGGUGCAAAAAGUGAUUUUUCCAUAACUUCCUCAUUUUAACCUUA
Molecule: long non-coding RNA, 1530 nt
Organism: Vigna unguiculata (cowpea)
Lineage: Eukaryota; Viridiplantae; Streptophyta; Magnoliopsida; Fabales; Fabaceae
Source: RefSeq, a predicted model, not a curated record